GAAGAAAAGAAGAGAAAGGGAGAAACGGAAAAAGAAGAGGAAAGAAACAAAGAAGAGGAAAGAGAGAAGAGGAAAGAAAGAAGGGAAAGAGAAAAGAGGAAAGAGAGAAAAGGAAAGAGACAAGAGGAAGAGAAGGAAGAAAGAGGAAAGAGAGAGCAGGGAGAAAUUAUCCUAGAGAGAAAAUUAAGUGAGCCACACAUAUUGUAAACACUAAAGUUGUAGCCCUAUUAUUUUACAUAGUGGAAAAGUUACUACUGCUGCUCUCCGAGGACGUAGGCAUAGCCGAACCUCGUUAAAUACUAUGUCUCAUCUACUUUACGUGCAGCUCAAUAUCCGCACAUAUUCCAGGUUAUUUUACAACACGUUAUCAGCACGAGAAGCUCUCAGGUAUAAUUUUUGUGCUGCACUAUUAUUUAUAUUACUAACCACUAACAAAAAUGGACUCUUGGUAAUACUAAACAUAUUAUCAGUGGGAGACCGUUACUAAUACUAACACUUUCCUUAUUUUGUUCAGUGGUGGUUUUUAUUCCCACAUUUAUUUUAUUUACUGUAUGGUGUAGGUUUAUUACCCAUACAACAGUAUUUAUUUAAAAGGGUGGUGCGGGUUUAUCGCCCACGCCUUUUUUUUUAUUUAAAUGUAUGGAGCAGAAUUAGUGCCCAUACAAGCACGUUUACUUUACCGCAUAUUUAAUUUAUUUAAGGUAUGGUGCGGGAUUAACGUCCAUACAGCAAGCUAUAUAAUUUAUUUAAGGUAUUGUGCGGGAUUAACGUCCAUACAGCAAGCAAUUUAAUUUAUGAAUUUAAUUUACUGCACAUUUACAUUUAUUUAAAAGGGUGGUGCGGGUUUAUCGUCCACGCCUUUACUUUUAUUUAAAUGUAUGGUGCGGGUUUAUUGUCCAUACCAGUAAUUUAUUUACCAGCAAUUUAUUUUAUGGAUUAAUUGUGCUGUAUGAUGAGUUUUUACAGUAUGCAGAUCAGGACCAGAAGUUCCUUGAUCCUCAUCAUACAAUUAAAUCAGGACUUGAAGAUCCUUGAUGAUGAUAUUAAUAUGAGAGCUGGCAGUCUCUCCGGUACUGUAUUUGUAAACAUAUGAUCGAAAUUAAGGGUCCUUGAUCCCUGACAUGUAAAUAAGGACCUAGAGUUCCUUAAUGAUGUAACAGUACCGUAUUGGUUCAUAGUGCCGUACACAUUGAUGAUAACUGUACUGGCAGAUGAAUAGAUACGUAUUCAUGACUUGAUGAAUAGUACUAUUCACAUGAAUAGUGACGUAUGCAUAAAUAUGAACCAUUUUGGGUAAACCGUCACUAUAUACAAAAGGGAACCUGCAGUUUCAUGGUGCCGUACACAUUGAUGAUAACUGUACUGGCAGAUGAAUAGAUACGUAUUCAUGACUUGAUGAAUAGUACUAUUCACAUGAAUAGUGACGUAUGCAUAAAUAUUAACCAUUUUGGGGAAACCGUCACUAUAUACAAAAAGGAACCUGCAGUUCCUUAAACUCAUGGAUGAGCAAUUAAAUGAGAUGCCAGAAGUUCCUCAAAAUAUGGACAAUUAUGUAAGGGCUUGAAGUCUCGAAAUAUGUACAGAAAAUUGUAAAAAUGUCCAUACCAUGAGCAUGUAUGGCUUUGGCCUGAAGUUCAAAAUUUAACAGUGUUGAGAACCUGAAGUUCCAACAAUUAAAUGGACAACCCUUGAGGUAUUAUUGCAAAUUGUGGUAUGCCACAUAUUUCUUUGGCAUAAGAAGAUGAUGAAUUUAAAGUUCGAUUUUGUUAUAAUCGACACCUCAAGGAAGAAAUAUAUUUUGUGAAUUCCGGUUGUUAAGAAUACACCGCGAAAUGGAUAAUAUCAAUAUAAACCUCAAAUAAUGAAUUGAGGCUCCCCACAUAUUUUGUUAUAUCUGGGCCGGAAGCCCAUGGAUCCAAAUAUAUGAGAGAUCCUGAACUUGAAGUUGUGGGUAUAUAGUAGUUAAUGCUCUUCACUACUAUAUUGCGAUAUUAUCAUGGCUUUUACUCAAUUCACAUUUCAUGUCCAUUUGAAAAGGGCAAAUAAAUUCUAAGUUUGUGCCCAGGCCAAAAGUUUCGGGCUACCAUGCAAUUUGGGAGAGACAAUGUGGUUAUUUGAACCUAUAAGGCACAAGGUUCCAAACCGUCAUUUUGAAAAGACGUAAAAACCACAGGUGCAAGUUUAAGAAUGUGCGCAAUUAUUAUUACAGGAACAUACAACAGAUAGAUUUUUUCCACCUGCAAUGAAGGUGCAGGCCCUGUAAAAUCUAUAAAAUUACAUUAUGUUCUGGAAGCCUCUGAAGGAAGCCAUUUUUAAGAAGGUUUCGAAGAAAGUCUUAGGAAAACUAAAGUUUCAGAAAAUGAAGAAAUUUGAGUUGAAACGCAAUUGCUCCAAUCAAGUUUUGCAAAGGCAAUAUCUAUAGACGAAAAUAUGGCAAUAUCUUCAUGAUUCCAAUAUCUUCUCGAAUCCACAUAUUAUCUUUUUCUUUCCCAGAGUCCAAAACUUCACGUGGCCUCUAAUAAUGCCCGUCGGCACUUUCGGCGUUUUCAAGUAUUAUUUUCAAAGCCGAUCUUCCUUUACGGAUUUCACGGAGCUACUUUUUCAAAAGCAUCCCGAGAAUCUCGCAAUUUUCCUAUGGUUAAUUUGAAAUUCACCGGUUCUACCUAUUCAUUGUAUUUGUGUAUAAAUGUGUUACUAACGAAAUUUUCUUUGCAGAAGACAUCCAGUUUACUCCAUUCCUAGUGAUGCGAUAUCUACUUGUUUUCUUAUCAGUAAGCACUUAAUAUGCCCGAGAAGCAAGACUAUCUCUGAUCAUCCAUUCAGGAAGCAAGACUAUCCCUGAUCAUGUUUCCGCUAUAUCAGGGAACUGUGAAGGCGACCUUAUGCUCUAAUCUCCUGAGGUCCUUCUAGACUAGGAGAAAUGAGAGCUUGUUGUCUGCUCCCACCAGCUUCCUUCCUUGAUUGCUUACCUUACCUUGCAAUCAAUAUCACAAUCUUUUUGCAUUUUUUCUCUUUUUAUAACUCUCUGUUCAUAAGAGAUUUUAUUUCUCUAGAAUGAACAUCUGAAGAAUGAAUCCAUGAAGUAAUCCUAACUAUGAAGGUUAUUUGACAGAGGCAAAAGAGUUGUGAUUUUUACUCUUGCAGGAUAUAACAAGAUCAUCAAGCGAUACUUUAUAUUUACUGGGCCGAUACGAGCUUGAAUGAUACUUGAGAAAAGUUUCUCCCACCUAAGGAUGUAAGCAAUACUUGUGUUAUUUUAUGCUUAUAUACCUAUUUGAUAUUUUAUCUUGAAAGGUAACCAAAUGGGGAGAUAAGUCCGUUCCAAAAGAAUGACUUGUAUGUAUCCAUGAAUUAUUAACGCAAAUUUUACAGAUUGCAAGUUGGAUACAUUGAUAAUACACUGCACAGAUUAAAGUCCCAUAAGAACAAAAUAUGGGUAUAGCAGUGAUCAAUAUGAUGCACGCCUGUUGCGUAGCAAAUGAUGUGGAUUGAAGUCCCGAAGGACAAUCCUUUGACAUGUCAAUAUUGAUAUUAUGCACGCCUAAUGCGUAGCAAAUUAUAUGGGUUAAAGUCCCAUAAAUUAAUUGACAUGUAUGUAUUAAUCUGUGGCAUGCCUGCAACAUGACAGAUAUAUGGGUUCUAAAUGUUCCAACUCUCUAAAUGAAGAAUAUCCAUGCCCUACUAUAAAAUAACGCUCCAUUGGAGGUUAUAAUCCACAUUCUCACAUAAUAAAAGCCCCCUACAGUGGCUUGGGUACCCAAAAGCAAAGAAAUGCUUAUAAUUGAUGCAUGCGCAUGCAAAUGAGAAUGGUGGGAUCAUGAAUUGAUGAAUGACAAUUUUUGGUUUUGGAGUAGCUACUCAAAUCAUCAAUGGGCUGUGUUGAUUGGAACCAUGUUCAAUUAUUAAAUGUCGACAAUAUCACUGGCCAAAAUGGAAUGAGGUAAUUCCAUUAUAGAUAAGAAUGAACGUGAAGGAACAACCCACAGUACGAACCCCAAAAUUUGUUAAUACUGAAAGUUAUACUUGGGUGUUCGGAAUAAAAGGGAAUAUACCUACUUUGUAUGACACACUGUUUCUGGCAGAAACAAGGAAUGUUGGGUUUUCUCCAUAUUUACAGAUUCAAUUGUGCCCCCCUUAUUACACAAUUACGGAGACCAACAUAUUAUCUUUAAGGGUUAUUAAAUGCACAGAGCAUAUCGCCAGAAGCGAUUUCCUAAAGAUGUAUAAAUAGCUGGGUUAAAGCUAUAUAAUGUGUCAUAAAGUUUAAUCCCUUUUAAACAAAAUCCGUUGAGAGGAUUGACAUUGCAUAAAGCAAGUCCCUAAAGGACAUGUGCUUGAAGCACAAAAUUUGUACUCAAUAUUAAUAUGCAUAAAUUACCUCAGUGAGUACAUUGAUUAGAAUGUGAUUGCAACACAUUAAAACUUCUGCAGAAUUCACGAAAUAUUUGUCUCGACUUAAGGAUCGAGCAUUAUGCCAACGAGAUUCUUGCUUAUACUAAGAAAGUAUUGAAGCAUUUUUAUGAGGAUUAUCCGUUGGACACUUUAAGGAUUUUCCGGAAGUAUAUUGGACCGGACAUCAUAUUUUCCAGAUAUGGCUCAACUCCAUCACCAUCAUUUUGGGAUGAUGUGAGGUAGAUUUGAUGCUAUCUCCGCAUAACACCAUGUAUGGGCAUAUUCUUUCAUAUGAUCUUACAAAUAGCCCAAGUUUUGUUGGAAACGCGGACUCUGAAAAUUUCUAUGAUUUACAUAGAGAUAGCUCACUGGAAAUAUAUUUACUAUAUGAAUUGUUGGUGGCUACAUCAUUCACUCACUCCGAAAGAUUCUCACUCCAAAGAUAGUUAUGAAGACAUCAGGGGGAGAUAUUAAUCAGGGGGAGCAUCCAGAAGUAUGCUAUACAGAUUGUUGUACUCUUCUUUCUUCCUUCCAUCAGUUUUCUACCUCACUAGGUUUUCUCCAAGCAAAGUCUGAUGAAGCAACUGACAUAUUAUUUGUGGUCUCCAAGGGGGAGUGUUGUAAAGUAUAAAGUAGUGGAGCCCACUUACUAUUUGUUUGUAGACUUUGGUGCAUGAUUGUAUUGUAGAUUCACAGGUGGAUUGUAGAUUCACGGGUGUUAUCCACCCUUUCCUUAUAAAAGGCUUCUCUCUUAUGCAAAGAGAGAUAGAAGAGAAGAAAAGAAGAGAAAGGGAGAAACGGAAAAAGAAGAGGAAAGAAACAAAGAAGAGGAAAGAGAGAAGAGGAAAGAAAGAAGGGAAAGAGAAAAGAGGAAAGAGAGAAAAGGAAAGAGACAAGAGGAAGAUAAGGAAGAAAGAGGAAAGAGAGAGCAGAGAGAAAUUAUCCUAGAGAGAAAAUUCAGUGAGCCACACAUAUUGUAAACACUAAAGUUGUAGCCCUAUUAUUUUACAUAGUGGAAAAGUUACUACUGCUGCUCUCGGAGGACGUAGGCAUAGCUGAACCUCGUUAAAUACUGUGUCUCAUCUACUUUACGUGCAGCUCAAUAUCCGCACAUAUUCCAGGUUAUUUUACAACAAAAAC
Molecule: long non-coding RNA, 5532 nt
Filed under: Prunus persica (peach)
Lineage: Eukaryota; Viridiplantae; Streptophyta; Magnoliopsida; Rosales; Rosaceae
Description: long non-coding RNA (PPER_LNC000517)
Source: RNAcentral